AUCAGGAAUCUUGCGCAAUGGACGAAAGUCUGACGCAGCGACGCCGCGUGGGUGAGGACGUCUUUCGGGAUGUAAAGCCCUUUUUCAGGGGACGAUGAUGACGGUACCCUGAGAAUAAGCCCCGGCUAACUACGUGCCAGCAGCCGCGGUAAUACGUAGGGGGCGAGCGUUGUCCGGAAUUACUGGGCGUAAAGGGCGCGUAGGCGGCUCUUUAAGUCCGCGGUGAAAGCCCGGGGCUCAACCCCGGAGGGUCCGCGGAGACUGGAGAGCUGGAGUGUCGGAGAGGGAUGCGGAAUACCUGGUGUAGCGGUGGAAUGCGUAGAGAUCAGGUGGAACACCGAUGGCGAAGGCAGCAUCCUGGCCGAAAUACUGACGCUGAGGCGCGAAAGCUGGGGGAGCAAACGG
Molecule: ribosomal RNA, 405 nt
Filed under: uncultured bacterium
Lineage: Bacteria
Description: bacterial SSU rRNA
Rfam family: Bacterial small subunit ribosomal RNA
Source: RNAcentral